AUCCAAAUUAAAGUGCCUUCAAACGAACAUUCAAACUCCGGCCCUCAACAUAAAAGGAUAUGAUGCACUUCUCCUGUCUAUUGUUUGUGUUGGGAAAACGACCUCCCAAGAUUGCCCAAGAAAUAAAGCUUAACAAUGUGAAAAAAUUCCAAACCACUUCAAGAACAAGAAAAUGGGGAAGAAAUAAUUUUCAAUGUAUAUUGGAAGAACAAUGUAUUUGGAUUACUUGAACAAGCCUCAAGUUAAUCCCCAAAAAUAUAAAUAGCUUUGAAUUUAUACCCAAGAUGAACAACCUCAAUCUUGUAAAAUUCUAUCCAAGCUUUCUCUUCUAUUUUGCUCUCAAAAUGGGGACUUCAUGAAGGAGGAAAAACAGCUAUAUAAAUAGCUGAGUUGGGCGCCAUGGCGCCAAGUUUCGUGCAGAAACAUGGGCGCCAUGGGGCCCACCUCACUGCAUCUUACUUUCAAUUUGAGUGGGCGCCAUGGCGCCUGACUCCCUGAACCAUUUUUUUCUUACAAUUCUCCACCUCGUACAUCAUUUGAUAGACCUCAAAUUUUGGACGAACACAAGAAGAAGCAGCAAGCGCCAAACUCGGCUGCACCAUUCAAACCAUGGUUGCCUACGUAUCCAAAACUCGGAAUCAAGCCUCCGUAGUUCACCUCCACCUUCAUAUACACUUCACCUCAUUUCAACCCCGCCCCGAAGGGCCACGCCCACUCGGGCAUAUUAACACGGACUAAUGUGAAGCAAGUCCAAGCAAUGCUGAAACUUACUACCUGUUAUCACUUUGGUUAACAUGUCUGCUGGGUUCUCAUUUGUGUGUACUUUCAAGAGAGAAAUAUCACCUUCCUCUAUGACAUCACGCACAAAAUGGUACCUGACGUCGAUAUGCUUGGUUCGAGCAUGAUGAACCUGAUUCUUAGCCAAGUGAAUCGCACUCUGACUAUCACACCACAAGUCCACACAAUCCUGCUCAAUCCCCAAAUCAUCUAGAAGACCCCAUAACCACAAUGCUU
RNAcentral lists this long non-coding RNA (1014 nucleotides) under Olea europaea subsp. europaea. The record is from RNAcentral. Lineage: Eukaryota; Viridiplantae; Streptophyta; Magnoliopsida; Lamiales; Oleaceae.